CAUUUUACUGAUAGUUCCUCAAUUUUCUCCCCAGGUACUUCCUCACUUGCACCUUCAAUUUUUGUGUCUAUUCUUGUUUUAAAUAGUCUUCAUAGGAAAUCUUACCUAGUUUCAAAUAUUGUUGGAACUCAGAUUUCUAAAUCUAUGACACCAACACAACAUCUCUUUUGAAAUGCAGAUUCAUACAUCUAUCAAACUCCCUCCUAAAUAUAAUUCCCAUUAAGUGUAUUGAAGUUUCAUCAAACUCUACAUAUCUGAAAAAUAGUUAUUUCCCUCACCUUGCCCCUCACUCUAAUAUGAACAAAUGUAUUUCUUCUAUGCUACUUUAAUCAUUAUAGAUUUUUCCUCUUUCACCUUUCUCUCAUGUAAUUAUUGACUGAGGUGAUUUUUUUAGAUAUUAAAUAUUUCUUGAAUAUCUCCACAUCUUUAUUCCUAUCCUGCCCAUAUCAGCUAGUAUGGCCAGGAAAACAGAAACCACUUUAGGUAGAAGGUAUUUAAUACAGGAAAUUAGAAACAACAUGGUUGGAAAUCAGAGGCAGGAAACAUCAGAAGAAAGUGGUCUGGUAUUUAGAGAACCCAGAAAUGCAGGAAUCAUAAAGUUGAUGCCAAUAAUCUCAACCUCCUGCAGGAUGAAAUAAAUUAGCUGUGGUUCAGAAAUGUAGAUUGGAACUAUGAUAAUAUAAUACUAUGUAAACAGAAAGUGCUAUUUAACACAGAAGUUUAAAAACAUCAAGUGAAUUUUUGGUUGAAUAAAUGGAUAUUGUUUUGCCUGAUCAGAAUUUUAUUUUUUGUUUAUUGACCACUUAGGUUGUCAUUUGAACAAUUUCUCUUUAAUUUUCUUAAUUAAUUAAAGGUGGACAAUUAACUCUUUUGGGAAACUUUAGAAAUGAGUGUGGCAUUUUGAUGAAAAGUCUGUUUUAAAUCUGCUUUACGUAAAUGCUCUUUUUUUGUGUUUGUGUGUCUUUAGUACCAAUUGCAACAGGCCAUUAUUCAAUGGGUCCAACAGUUUGAGAAUGUAGUGGAUGGCCCAGCUGGAUUUCAGUGUGUACUAUACCUGUGUAAUUAUGGGGAAAAUAUCUCUCACUUGAGACAGAAAUUUAAUUCCAUUAUUUGAAGCCAUGAGAUUAGAUAUUUCCUAUGCAUCAGUUAAAAUCGUCUAAUUUCUAAAAAAACCAAUGGUUCCAGCAAGGGAAUGGGAAAUAUGAGAGCACGAAGAUAAUGGGUUUAGGAGAAAAUUUGAAAGUAAAAUAAAUAGGUCCUUGUGGCCAAAUUAAAUAGGACCUCGUGAAUUUUAAAUUCCCUCAAUUUAAUGUUGAGGAAAUGAAUAAAAAAAAGAAGAGAAGAGAUAGUACAUUCUAACUUUCACCUAUUUGUUUAUUCAUUUACUUAACAAACAUUGAUUGAGUUUGUACUAUGUCUCAUUUAGCAUGUCAAAGCUCUGGGAAUAAAAGAUGACUGAAACAGGAUUCUUUUCCCUAGGAAGGUCACAGUCUGAUAGAGGAGGUAAAAACACAUCCAGUCAACUAUAACACAAUGUGAUAUAUUAAGCUUUUACUCUGCCACCAUUAUAUUUAAUGUACUGAGGGAAGACAAAUGAGUGAACAACUAAUUAUAUUGGGGAAAGUAUUUGGGAAGACUCUAGAGAAGAUGUAACAAUUGUCUUUAAUAUUAAAAAAUGAUCUUUCUAAGGAGAGAUAUGUGGCAAAGAUGGUUCAGCAAGUGAGAAAGGUGCGGUGAAUUUAGCUAUUGUCCAGACUUCAGGCAGCAGGGAGAAUGGGAUUGGCCGCUGUCAUUGUCACAAAGCUUGUUAGCCCUAGACAACAGAUUCUAUCCUGUGUGUCUUGAGAUUAAUAAAUGUACUUUAUAAUCAUUGUGAGGAUUAAAUGAGCUAAUAUAUGAAAUAAUUUUAGUAUACAGCCUAGAAAUAUUAGCAUGUGAUAAAUAUUUAUUUCUGUUUCUAAAUUUUCUUCAUUCUUGCCUUCUAGUUGAAAAGUAUAUUAGAUAAUGGGUAAAUCUAAGAAAACAUGUUGCAACAAGAAAAAAAUUUUGUGUAAUUGUGUGUGCUCAGUUAUUUCAGCUGAGGAACUAAUUUUGCCAGUAGAUGUAAUUUGCUUAGGACUAAACAAAAGUUUAUCCUGUGAGCUAUUUUGAACAAUUUUAUUAUAAGAAUUAUUUAUUUUAUGGAAGAAUCUUAUAUAAAAUAUUUAAAGUAGGAUCCACAUGGCGGCCAACAAGAUUAUAAUGAUAAUAUUAAUAAUAAAUCUGAAUUCCUUUAUAUGAGACGAGAUUGGCAAUUGUCUUCAGCUCCCAACAUUUCCUAUUGUCUUAGUGGCCACCUUUUCUCCUUUGUAUUACCUUAAUGGUUCAUGUAAAUAUUUGUUGUUUGUGAUUUCAAGCAUCAGAAUAAGCUUCCAUCCUAAGGAUUUAUCUUUGGCAAGAUAAUUUCCUUUUCCUAAGUGGAAAUUGCCUGCUAGAGAGUCAGCAAUAGUAACACAAAUUCAUAUACCUGUCUUCAUCUACUAUUUUCAAAAGCCCAAAGAAACAGUAACAACAACAAAAACAAUACCUGAUUAUACCAAAACAGAAAAGAGCAAAACAAAUCAACUUUGACCUAAAUAGAGAAAAAUAAUCCUCCCUCUUUUUUAGCUUCAGAAUGAUAGCAUGCUUCCUAAAGCCCUACCAUAAAUAGCAUUAUUUUCAACAUGGCCAAUUUUCUAAUAUACCAAUACUCAUAUAAAACAGGGAUCUUAGAAAUCAGCAGUUUCAGUUCCAGGUCUUCUGAAAGCUCAUAUAAUUCUUCUGAAUUUUUACCGACAGCUUUGGGGAUUGUACUUUUGAUGGUAGGGCCAGCUUUUCUUACAAAUUUUUCCUUUCCUUUAAUUUGAAAAUAAUAUUUACUACAAAUGCUUUGGUUUCUUAUUAUAAUUGCCAUCAUACAGUUAAUGAAAACUAAAUUUUAUUAUUAUAACACCUAACUAUGAACCUCAAAUUCAGACUGUCUUGGUUUGUUUUUUUGCAAAAGUGGUGACACAAGGGAGAGAGUGUGGCUGUCAGUUAUCUCAUUUUGUUACUUUUGUAAAAGAUCUGCUGAUUCUUUGGGUAUAGCUCUGGUGUCAUUUCAAGUUUUUCCUGGCUCUAAGCAUCACGUCAUCGCCCUGGCAUCCUGUGCCUAUCUCUAACUGUACUAUUUCCUUUCUUCUCAAUUUAUGUGACUUUUUUCAAGAUACUUCAGUAUUUUAUCUCAUUAAGCA
This 3251-nucleotide long non-coding RNA is filed under the name Homo sapiens (human). RNAcentral describes it as "HSALNT0307816". The record is from RNAcentral. Lineage: Eukaryota; Metazoa; Chordata; Mammalia; Primates; Hominidae.